This 400-nucleotide ribosomal RNA is filed under the name uncultured bacterium. RNAcentral describes it as "bacterial SSU rRNA". It matches the Rfam family "Bacterial small subunit ribosomal RNA", at positions 355 to 747 of the family's 1533-position model. The record is from RNAcentral.
UGGGGAAUUUUGGACAAUGGGCGAAAGCCUGAUCCAGCAAUGCCGCGUGAGUGAAGAAGGCCCUUGGGUUGUAAAGCUCUUUCGGCUGGGAAGAAGGAACGGAUGCUAAUAUCAUCUGUGACAGACGGUACCAGCAUAAGAAGCACCGGCUAACUACGUGCCAGCAGCCGCGGUAAUACGUAGGGUGCAAGCGUUAAUCGGAAUGACUGGGCGUAAAGGGUGUGUAGGCGGUUUGUUAAGUCUGAUGUGAAAUCCCCGAGCUCAACUUGGGAACUGCGUUGGAUACUGGCAAACUAGAGUACGUAAGAGGGGGGUAGAAUUCCACGUGUAGCAGUGAAAUGCGUAGAGAUGUGGAGGAAUACCGAUGGCGAAGGCAGCCCCCUGGGACGAUACUGACGCU